GACGAACGCUGGCGGCGUGCUUAACACAUGCAAGUCGAACGGAAAGGCCCUGCUUGUGUGGGGUGCUCGAGUGGCGAACGGGUGAGUAACACGUGAGUAACCUGCCCUUGACUUUGGUAUAACUUCAGGAAACUGGGUCUAAUACCGGAUAGCAGCUCCUUCUGCAUGGUGGUGGUUGGAAAGGUUCGGCGGUUGGGGAUGGACUCGCGGCUUAUCAGCUUGUUGGUGGGGUAGUGGCUUACCAAGGCUUUGACGGGUAGCCGGCCUGAGAGGGUGACCGGCCACAUUGGGACUGAGAUACGGCCCAGACUCCUACGGGAGGCAGCAGUGGGGAAUAUUGCACAAUGGGCGGAAGCCUGAUGCAGCAACGCCGCGUGCGGGAUGACGGCCUUCGGGUUGUAAACCGCUUUCGCCUGUGACGAAGCGUGAGUGACGGUAAUGGGUAAAGAAGCACCGGCUAACUACGUG
This 468-nucleotide ribosomal RNA is filed under the name uncultured bacterium. RNAcentral describes it as "partial 16S ribosomal RNA". It matches the Rfam family "Bacterial small subunit ribosomal RNA", at positions 28 to 507 of the family's 1533-position model. The record is from RNAcentral.